UACGAGGGGGGCAAAUGUUGUUCGGAAUCACUGGGCGUAAAGGGAGCGUAGGCGGGUUUCUAAGUCAGGUGUUUAAUCCCGGGGCCCAACCCCGGACAGGCACUUGAAACUGGGAAUCUUGAAUAGUGGAGAGGUCAGUGGAAUUGGGGGUGUAGCGGUGGAAUGCGUAGAGAUCCCCAAGAACACCAGUUGCGAAGGCGGCUGACUGGACCGUUGUUGACGCUGAGGUGCGAAAGCGUGGGGAGCAAACAGG
Molecule: ribosomal RNA, 253 nt
Filed under: uncultured bacterium
Lineage: Bacteria
Description: partial 16S ribosomal RNA
Rfam family: Bacterial small subunit ribosomal RNA
Source: RNAcentral